UUUCCCUGGGUCAUUUAUUUUUUUCGCCACCUCUUUCGCCAAAACAAUAUAUUUUUCCCCACUUUAUUUUUUAAUUAGCCACAAUAUUACAAUUUAUCUGUUUUGAUAUGAUUGUCUUGAACCUCUUUUCAUAGUUCAGUGAGUGACUAUAUAGCUACUCGAAGAAUUGUUUGCUAUGUUGAUUCUCUAUUAUAAGUUAUACGCUAACGAUCUUUGUAUGUGUGCAACUAUAUGGUCAUAAUGCCAAUCUAACAGUUCUCAUUUGACCAAGUAAUCAUUGAUAAUUCACAAAGUUAAGUUUCCUAGUUCAAGUCAGUAUCUCAGAUAUGAUAGCAUAUUAUAUUUAAUAUUUG
RNAcentral lists this long non-coding RNA (353 nucleotides) under Mytilus galloprovincialis (Mediterranean mussel). Lineage: Eukaryota; Metazoa; Mollusca; Bivalvia; Mytilida; Mytilidae. The record is from RNAcentral.